AUCGCUUCUCGGCCUUUUGGCUAAGAUCAAAGUGUAGUAUCUGUUCUUAUCAGCUUAAUCUCUGGUACGGUCUCCAUAGGGGACCCAGAAGAUUAAACUGAUUUUUGGAAAAUGACGGAGUGCUAGGGGCUUGCUCCACCUCUGUCGCGGGUUGACCCGGUAUUGCAGUACCUCCGGGAACGGCCCACCCUAA
Rhodnius prolixus is the source of this 193-nucleotide non-coding RNA. Lineage: Eukaryota; Metazoa; Arthropoda; Insecta; Hemiptera; Reduviidae. The record is from Rfam.